CAGCAGCCGCGGGAAUACGAAGGGUGCAAGCGUUAAUCGGAAUUACUGGGCGUAAAGCGCGCGUAGGUGGUUUGGUAAGAUGGAUGUGAAAUCCCCGGGCUCAACCUGGGAACUGCAUCCAUAACUGCCUGACUAGAGUACGGUAGAGGGUGGUGGAAUUUCCUGUGUAGCGGUGAAAUGCGUAGAUAUAGGAAGGAACACCAGUGGCGAAGGCGACCACCUGGACUGAUACUGACACUGAGGUGCGAAAGCGUGGGGAGCAAACAGGAUUAGAGACCCCCGUAGUCCCUGUCUCUUAUAC
Molecule: ribosomal RNA, 301 nt
Filed under: uncultured bacterium
Lineage: Bacteria
Description: partial 16S ribosomal RNA
Rfam family: Bacterial small subunit ribosomal RNA
Source: RNAcentral